UUCGCAAUGCCCGAAAGGGUGACGAAGCGACGCCGCGUGUGGGAAGAAGGCCUUCGGGUUGUAAACCACUGUCGGGAGUUAAGAAAUGCAAGGAUAUGAAUAGUGUCUUUGCUUGACUAAGGCUCCGGAGGAAGCCACGGCUAACUCUGUGCCAGCAGCCGCGGUAAUACAGAGGCGGCAAGCGUUGUUCGGAAUUAUUGGGCGUAAAGAGCACGUAGGCGGCUAUGUAAGUCGGUUGUGAAAGCCUUCCGCUCAACGGGAGAACAGCAUCCGAUACUACAUGGCUUGAGUGCGGGAGGGGAGAGUGGAACUUCUGGUGGAGCGGUGAAGUGCGUAGAUAUCAGAAGGAACGCCGGCGGCGAAAGCGGCUCUCUGGCCCAUAACUGACGCUGAGUGUGCGAAAGCUAGGGGAGCAAACGGGAUUAGAUACCCCGGUAGUCCUAGCCGUAAACGAUGGGCACUAAGUAGAGGGGUUUU
RNAcentral lists this ribosomal RNA (477 nucleotides) under uncultured Planctomycetota bacterium. RNAcentral's name for it is "bacterial SSU rRNA". It matches the Rfam family "Bacterial small subunit ribosomal RNA", at positions 365 to 832 of the family's 1533-position model. Lineage: Bacteria; Pseudomonadati; Planctomycetota. The record is from RNAcentral.